Teleopsis dalmanni is the source of this 1111-nucleotide RNA transcript. It is a transcript of the gene named protein TIS11-like, with no coding region annotated. NCBI's taxonomy places the organism in Eukaryota, Metazoa, Arthropoda, Insecta, Diptera, Diopsidae. The transcript is spliced from 3 exons. The record is from RefSeq and is a predicted model, not a curated record.
AAUAAAUUAAGUGAUAAAAACCAGAUUUACUCAAGAACGGCGGAUGUUGUUAACAUGCAGGAAUUUUUUGAUAAAAAAAAAACUGAUAAAGCAUUAGAUCUUAAGGAUAAUUUUGAGCUCAUUAAUUUUCAAGAAAACGAUCAAUAUCGUUAUCACAACCCAUUAACUCGCACAAUUUCACAACCACAACCACAACCUGACACAAAUAUUCUGUCAUAUAAAGCACAAAACAUUAAAUCUGCUGUUUCUUCAAUAAUUGAAAACUUUGAUGGAAUAAAUUUACACCGUAAGCUCGAGAGAACGCAGUCAGAACCAUUGCCUCAACAAGUGAAUGCUUCCAGGUAACUGUUUAGCACAUUCAAGCAAACAAAUUAUUUUUAACAAAUACAAAGAAUAAAGAAUUUUUUUGAAAAAAAGCUGGAGAUUGUGAACGCGAUUUGACAAGAAUUUUGGAAAUUUUUAAUGUCCGGCUUUCAAAUUCCAGAUGUUUAGCGACGACAACUAGUUUAUACUAUUUUUACAUUGACUGUUCAACCAAUGAUUACAACAAGUAGACAUGCCCGAUGACUCUAAGAUAUAUAUGUAUAAAUUUACAACCCGAUAUCUGCUAAAUUUAUCCACAUAUGGAACACGAAAAAAAUACUAAGAAUACUAAAAUACUGAGCUAAAUAUGUUGUCCAGGAAAUAAGAAUCCUCUCAUAAAAAAACACUUCUUAGAAAUAAUUUGAGAAGAAAUAUGAAAACUGCAGGAUCAUUUGGGAUGAAAGAGCAAAAUUGACGCCAAGUUUACUCACUGUUUAUAAAAAAAGUACAUUUUUCAAAUGAUGUUUGCAACUUUUUUAGCGUAAUCCAAAAAUUUUUACUUACAUUUAUAAAUGAAUUACCACUCAUCUACUGUAGAAACGCAAAUUCUGUUGUGAUCAUAUUCCAAGAUAAGCGAAGACUGGACGCCGUCUUCGGAAAAUAUUACAGCUUCUGCUUUUCAGAUACAUGUCAUAAUUCUUAUUGACUAUUUGGAAAAUGUGUACUACUGACAAUAUACCCAAUACUGUUUGACAAUUUGUCUUGAAAUGAAGAAGAAACUGCAGCGCGACAGUUCGUUUAUCAGUAA